GAGACUGCGGCCUCAAAACCAGAAGCGUGCUCCUGCAUCCUGAGAGGGAGACCCGGGCAGCCCUAGAGGCCUGAGAGGCGCAUCUGUCAGCCAGAUGGUAACUCCAAGGGAGCAAGGUGCGUGAGGAGCUCUCAUUAUCCUCGCCUAGCCUGGAGCACCUGCUCUCCCCGCGGAGACCAGACCGGCUCUGUAGAGCCGGCCUAACCCCAGAGAUAGGUAACCAGCCCAAGGUCAGCAGCCUACUGGAGGAGGCAGGGCCUGGAAGCUAACCCUUGUCCCCAGGUUCCUAGCUCACCUAGCUGCAGCAGAGGGAGGAGGUUCCCACCAGUAUCAAAAGAACUCCUUAAGGUUCUCGUAACAUCUAGAACUCCAGCGAGUGGGACUGAAGGAAAGGGAGACCGUUUGAUGAUCUUAGAUUUGGAAGAGGGGCUGCUAAGAAAACUGAGCCUAAUACCCCCCCAAAAGUCCUUAAAGGGAUGGCUGGUUUCCAAAGGCCAGACCCCAGGAAGAGAGGAGGAGGUGGAGAAAUCGGAGAGGGCUGUGCCAGGUGGAAUAAGCCUGACCUCUAGGUUCAGGCCUGAUCUGAAAUCCCAACCCUGCAGUUCCCUAGCAGUGAGGGAAGUGAUCUAUCUUCUAGAACCCCAGUACCACAGGGCCCAGCUGCCAAGGUGCCCCUCAGGACAGUUAAAGAGGGGGGAAGUGAAGUCAGACUCCUGAGGCAGGGCUGUUAGUGGAAGCGCAGUAGGCAAAGAAGAAAUGGCUCCCUUUGUGAGCCGGUGCUGCUCUUUAGCCAUGCCCACUUCAGAGCCACCUGGGCUGGGAAGCCUCCCCAGAGAUCACCCAGCCCAAGCCUGUAGUUGAUACAUAGAAAACGAAAGCUAAGAGGGCCUGGGCUCAGCCUGAUCCCCAUGGCUUGUCAGUGGCAGGAGCAGCAGGUCCCCAGACAAUGGGUGCUCCCCUCCACAAGGCAGCGGUCUCCAAUCACUAAGGCUCUUCUGAGAGUCUGCUCUGAGGUUAGCUCUGAAGCCCAAGUGCGGAGAGUGAUGACAGAGGCCUAGAGUGCAGGGUGAUGUCAACUUACAAGCAACUCUUACAUCUGUGCUAGGCUUUCUGGUCUUGCCCCAAAGCGCUUUUCACAUCCAUUUAUUGACCUCACCGUCUCAAAAUAAGUGAGAUAGAAAGAGGAGAGGCUACAUCUCUGUUAACUGGUGGAGCGGGAAAAGGGUGAGUGGCUUGGCCAAGGUCACCGUCAGGAGAAGGGCCUCCUUUCUCACCACAGAACAACACAAAGCAAUUUACAAGUUAAUUGCCUACUGGGGCCCCACUGUGUCAGAUAAAAAGUCACACAGAGCCGAGAAAUCCACACAGACAGACAGUGAGGGAGAGGAGACAGCAAUUCCAAAUGUCAGUGGACUGUUAUGUUUACCUCACCCUGGACAAAUAAGGUUGAAGGUGGAAGCCCCCAGGCUCCCAACUCAGCACCCACCCCUUUCAGGAAACAUACGUGGCUCCUAAGCACAUGGGCACUGACAGUCUGAAAAGCAUCUGUGAGGACUGGGAAUGUAGCUUGGAGGUAAAACACUUGCCUAACUAGUCACUACGGGUGCCCCGGGUGCUAGCUCCAGUCCUCCUGGAAAAAAAAAAAAAAAUGUCUCUGCCGUUAUUAGGUUAUUAUCUUUGAAAACUCAGCCUCCAGAAGAGGGCAGGGUUGGGAGGGUGGUAUGUUGCAUCUCUGGUAGCUGGAGGUUAAAUGAUCCGCCCAAGGUAACACUGAAGUUCUGCAAGGGAAAAUGGGAGUCCAGGGGUGGUUAUCUGCCUCCAUCCUUCCUGGCUGCCUGCAAUACUCAAUCUUUGACCUUCUGUCUCUCUAGUCUGUGGUUGGGCUUCUCUCUAGCCUGAGUCGACACCUGUGUUGGAGACUCCAUUUCUAGAGGAGCCUCCACUCCAGAGAAGCUCACAGCUGUACCAAAGAUACCAGGAUCUGGAGGCAACCAAAAGCAAGGGACCGCUAUCUGCUAUGCCUGCAUCCUGCUGACCACCCAGCACAUUUCCACCGCCAGGAUCUUGCAAAAUGGCUGAGAUGGUCACCACAAGCUUACAGAUGAGGGCAUCCAGGCCAGAGAAGUUAAGUGACAGCCCAAAGCCACCCUAACAAUGAAAGGCCAGUAGGUUCCAAGUAGGGCCAAGCUCUCCCAUUGCUGGGUGGUAGUGCCUCCCUGAGGAUGCCAGGAGUUAGAAAAACAGAAGCAAGCUCUUUCAUUUCAUACCUCGCCCUAAUCAGUGAAAGGGAUAACAACUCUCUUCCCAAGAUGUAAAGCCUUGUGGGUAAAAUUUCUAGGAGCCUGGAGUUCCUUCUGGUGAUGGGUCAGCCUAGAAGCAGCCACUUUAGCACCUCUCAUUGGUGCAUCCUCAGGACAACAUAGCGUCAUUUGGCACUUCCAAUCCAGAAGAGGCAGAACCAGCUAAGAAGAUUCCUGGAUCAGGGGUCAGACCCAAGAGAGCUCAAUCCUGACUAGAGAAAUGGGAUCACUAGCUGCUGAGCCCAGACCCCCGUACAGAAGGCCAAUGAACAACAAACUCUCUGGAUGCAUCCUAUAGGACUGCCAGAACUGGAGCCCAGAGAGGUUCUGCCACUGGAUCAAGAUCACACAGCUAUCACCAUUCUGAAGGCUGGGGCAGGAAGGGCCUGAGUUCAAGGCCAUUCUGGGCCCCAUAGUAAGAUCCUUUCUCAUGUGGGGAGGGGAGAAGGAGAGGAAAAAAAACCAACCAGCAAUGGAGCCAGGACCAGAGCAAAUCAAUCUUCAAACCUUUACGCUCUCUGUUCAGGCCAAUUACCAUAAGGCCCUGGCUUCCUUGUGUGGAAUCCUCAACAAUCUGAGCAAGGCGCUGCACAUAAUGUCCCUCUUGGUGCACAGGCCCUAAAAGAGGCCCUCCCCUCUCACUUGCCAGCCAGGUCACUGUUCUCACCUGUCGUCCAGAGCUUAGGUGAUCUACCCCCUGGGUGUAUCUGUGACCCACCCAAAUGUUGGUAUUGCUAUCCCAUGGACUGGACUCUUGGACGGACUGGCUUUGGACCGAAUAUAAAAAGAAAACAAGCUGAACUUUCACAUUUCUCUGCUUUGUAAUCUGCCCAGAUGUGGGCAAGAUGAUUGCCAUCUUGCCUGCCCUGCCGUGAUGAACUGUUUCCCCUCAAACUGUGAUCCAGAAUCAACCCUUCCCAUGGGCAAGAUGAUCACCAUCUUGCCUGCCCUGCCGUGAUGGACUGUUUGUCCUCUGUGAGCCAGAAUCAACCCUUCCUGUGGGCAAGAUCGCCAUCUUGCCUGCUCUGCUAUGAUGGACUGUCUCCCCUCUAACCGUGAUCCAGAAUCCACCCAUCCCCCUUGUUUGUUACAGCAGUGAGAAAAGUAACUGGUGCAGGAAAUCAGUACCAGGAGUGGGGUCGUUGCUGUGAUGAGUCUGGCCGUGUGGCCACAGGCCACUGAACUGGUUUGCUGAAGGAAUAUGAAGAGUCUGGAUCUACAGUCUAGAAAUGCCAUAAAACCACUGUGAAAAGAACUUAAGGGGCCAUGGCGAUGGAAAUCUGGACCACCAAAUGAGGAGAGGGAGAAAAAAAGACAGCAAAGAGUCAGCUCAUGAUGGUUCAGAAGUCUAUUGGGAACUGGGGCAGAGGCCAUCCAUGUUACACUCUGACUCCUUCUGACCAUGUCCUGAGACCCUGAGUGAACAUAAAACGAGAGGUAACGAGCUCAUUUGUUUUGUGGGGGAAGUCUCAGGACAACUGUUUUCCGUCUGUCCCAUGGUUCUUGCUCACUGCUGUCAGUCAGAUCCACAGUGGGAGAACAGAAAGACGUGGGAAAUGUAUGACUGGGUGAGUUUGCAGAGGAAGCAGAUAUAACCAUUCAGGAGACUAGUACCAGAAAGUACGCGGACCCUCACUCUGACCCGGGACCACAGGGAGAGUGCUCUGUGAGUAAGACCUCACACGGUAAAGAUUCCAACUAUGAAAAUGAAUGCAUCGGAAGAGAGGUUGGAUGGAAAUACAGCUAAAAGGGUUUCUUGCCCAAUCAACUGUCUGUGGAAGUGUUUUCCCUGGGUCGGCUGCGAAGCACCCAGAGGCCACUGAAGCUGGGGUACAAGAGGGUCCGUGUCUAUCUCCAGAAGGCAGAAAAACGUAUCAGGGUCGUCAGUGUGAUGCUGUGUAGACAUCCAGAAAUGCAAGAGCUGUAGGGCCAUAGUGGCUUGCAGCAAAGUUCCAGAAAAUGAGUUAAUUCAGCCAGUGUGUGGCAGGUUCAGGUUACCUGUGAGGCCCCGAGAAGCCAUUGUGUGAAACCAUCAAGGUAAAGCCUAAGAGGCAGUAGAGACCCCAGGAUGUUGGGGAUCAGGGGUCAGGCUGUGUGCUGCAGAUGGUGGGGCUGUAGAGACACGGCCACUCCAGCCUUUCGGACCAUAGACGAUGCCAUGAGUCCCAGAUGCUGGACAUGGGUUCCGGAGUUUUGUGUCUUCCCUGCAGGGCUUUGGUCUUGCUUUGGCAUAAUCUUUCCUUGUGCCUCUGUUCCUUCCCAUAUUAUUCUCUGUCGUAUAUCAGGAUGGAACUCGAUUAUUUUAUAGGGACCCACAGAGGAAGAGAUUGUCCUAAGUCUUAGAAGAGACAAUAAGUUUGGACUUUUGGAUGUUGAGACUUUGGGACUUUUAGAGAUUAAUCCAAUGCGUUUUGUAUUGAUGUGGCCAUGAGGGGUAGAAUGUUCAUAUAAAGUGAUGUGCUCAGUGUCAAGCUGACGAGGAGUGGACUUGUGAUGGUUAACUGUCAUUGUCAA
Long non-coding RNA from Arvicola amphibius (Eurasian water vole), 4814 nucleotides. RefSeq lists it as uncharacterized. Lineage: Eukaryota; Metazoa; Chordata; Mammalia; Rodentia; Cricetidae. The record is from RefSeq and is a predicted model, not a curated record. The transcript has 3 exons.